This 119-nucleotide ribosomal RNA is filed under the name Lepisosteus oculatus (spotted gar). Lineage: Eukaryota; Metazoa; Chordata; Actinopteri; Semionotiformes; Lepisosteidae. The record is from RNAcentral.
GCCAGCAGCCAUAUCACCCUGCAGCUCACAACUGACAACCCACGGAAACUAGGCAGGUGUGAGCCUGGCCAGUACCUGGAUGGGAGACCUCCUGGGAAAAACUAAGGUUGCUACUAGAA